UGGGGAAUAUUGCGCAAUGGACGAAAGUCUGACGCAGCGACGCCGCGUGUGGGAUGAAGCUCUUCGGGGUGUAAACCACUGUUGCCCGGGACGAACUUCUGGAUUUUUCCAGAUUGACGGUACCGGGUGAGGAAGCACCGGCUAACUCUGUGCCAGCAGCCGCGGUAAUACAGAGGGUGCGAGCGUUGUCCGGAAUCACUGGGCGUAAAGGGCGCGUAGGUGGCUCGGUAAGCGUGUGGUGAAAGCCUGGGGCUCAACCCCAGGUCUGCCGUGCGAACUGGCGAGCUGGAGCAGAGUAGAGGCGGGUGGAAUUCCGGGUGUAGCGGUGGAAUGCGUAGAUAUCCGGAAGAACACCGGUGGCGAAGGCGGCCCGCUGGGCUCUUGCUGACACUGAUGCGCGACAGCGUGGGGAGCAAACAGGAUUAGAUACCCCCGUAGUCC
Molecule: ribosomal RNA, 441 nt
Filed under: uncultured bacterium
Lineage: Bacteria
Description: bacterial SSU rRNA
Rfam family: Bacterial small subunit ribosomal RNA
Source: RNAcentral